Molecule: ribosomal RNA, 431 nt
Filed under: uncultured bacterium
Lineage: Bacteria
Description: partial 16S ribosomal RNA
Rfam family: Bacterial small subunit ribosomal RNA
Source: RNAcentral
AACGAACGCUGGCGGCAUGCCUAACACAUGCAAGUCGAACGAGACCUUCGGGUCUAGUGGCGCACGGCUGCGUAACGCGUGGGAACCUGCCCUUAGGUUCGGAAUAACUCCCCGAAAGGGGUGCUAAUACCGGAUAAUGUCCUCGGACCAAAGAUUUAUCGCCCCGGGAUGGGCCCGCGUUGGAUUAGCUAGUUGGUAGGGUAAAAGCCUACAAAGGCUACGAUCCAUAGCUGGUCUGUGAGGAGGAUCAGCCACCCUGGGCAUGAGACACGGCCCAGACACCUCCGGGGGGCUGCGUGGGGGUAUAUGGGAGCAUUGGCGAGAGCAGGAGCCCGCCCUGCCGGGUGAUUGAGAACUGCUGUAGGGCUGUAAAGCUCUUCUACCGGGUAUGAUAAUCAUGGCCCCGGGAGAAUAUACCCGGGCGACCCCCG